GGUUGUGCCGCCCGUCCCAGGGGAGACCUUGGGAGCUUUGUAGCAACUUGGCAUCUCCUGAGUCGCCAGAGAGAAUUUGCCUUAUUGUACUGAGUGCUGAGGAGUGGGCGCUGGGUGGCUUCCCUGGGCAAGCUGGUUGCUGAGCUGCACAGGCCCUUGCAUUUUCUGGGCUGUUCCCGUGAUUCAUUCCUCCCCUUCCCGGACAGUAUUUGAACAAGACGUAUUUUACUAAAGGCUUCGUGGAUUGCAGGGUCCCACGACAUCACCCCUCGAUGCAGUCGAUGGUUUGUUCCAGAUUCAGGCUUGUUUCUGGGAAGAAACGCUGACAGAAAUUCAGAAGAAUGGGAGCUGCAUUCCUUUAGGACAUGAAUACAUGAAAUGCUCGUUUUGGGAACUCCUAGAAGAAUGAGCUGGGACCCAUUCCGAGUCCUGCUGGAACCAGAGACCGAGAUACUGCCCAGGUGUCUGAAUGACUGCACUGGGGUACCUAACUUCUUUUCUGAUAGACUAUAUUCCUGGCCCGAAUUUUAAUAGAAAAACAAGGGACCUUACCUUAUUGUUUAAAACCGUGAUUCCCAAUCCCUGGGCUGAGUUGUUAACAGUCUUAGUUUAAUGAACUCCCAUGACCAUCUUUUUUGGAGGAUCUUUGUGUGGAGAUAUCUCAAUUGAAACUGUGAGAAGGGUGAGUGGACACUUCCCAGAGAUUUUGCAGAUGCUUUAUGUAUAUAAUGUCUUCUUUUUAAAAUGUUCUUAGAAACAAAUAUUACCCGUUUUCACAGAAAACACAGCUGAGCCUCUGUGUAGG
This is a long non-coding RNA of Herpailurus yagouaroundi (jaguarundi), 805 nucleotides long. RefSeq lists it as uncharacterized. The record is from RefSeq and is a predicted model, not a curated record. The transcript has 3 exons. NCBI's taxonomy places the organism in Eukaryota, Metazoa, Chordata, Mammalia, Carnivora, Felidae.